AGGGUUUGAUCAUGGCUCAGGACGAACGCUGGCGGCGUGCCUAAUACAUGCAAGUGGAACGCAUGAUUGAUACCGGAGCUUGCUCCACCAUUAAUCAUGAGUCGCGAACGGGUGAGUAACGCAUAGGUAACCUACCUCAUAGCGGGGGAUAACUAUUGGGAACGAUAGCUAAUACCGCAUAACAGUAUUUAUCGCAUGGUAAAUGCUUGAAAGGAGCAACUGCUUUACUAUGAGAUGGACCUGCGUUGUAUUAGCUAGUUGGUGGGGUAACGGCUCACCAAGGCAUCGAUACAUAGCCGACCUGAGGGGGUGAUCGGCCACACUGGGACUGGGACACGGCCCAGACUCCUACGGGAGGCAGCAGUAGGGAAUCUUCGGCAAUGGGGGGAACCCUGACCGAGCAACGCCGCGUGAGUGAAGAAGGUUUUCGGAUCGUAAAGCUCUGUUGUAAGAGAAGAACGUGUGUGAGAGUGGAAAGUUCACACAGUGACGGUAACUUACCAGAAAGGGACGGCUAACUACGUGCCAGCCGCCGCGGUAAUAC
RNAcentral lists this ribosomal RNA (544 nucleotides) under uncultured bacterium. RNAcentral's name for it is "bacterial SSU rRNA". It matches the Rfam family "Bacterial small subunit ribosomal RNA", at positions 8 to 526 of the family's 1533-position model. The record is from RNAcentral.